UUGGAGUUCACCGGAUAUUAUUGUGAGUGUGCCACUUGCAUCUAUCGCUCUAAGUAUCCACCAAGGAAACGAGGGCCUAUCAAGUACCCUAUUAGCAUCAUGAAGCAACUGAACCCUCAUUUCAACCCUGAUUUCGAUCCUCCUUAUGUGGAAGAUCAAGGGUUCAUCGCUCGUUUAUGGUCAAAUUUCUUUCAACUACAUAUACACGAUCCAAGGUUUGCUCAAAGAGUGGGAAUGACACUAAAUAUAUAUCAAGACGAGGUGAAGAUUAAUGGCCGGAGGAUGAACAAGAGAACUUUCUGGAUCUCUGUUUACGUGGUGGUUUUUGUGCUAACCUGUUUUUGUUUCUUCAUGGUCAAACUUUGGUCCG
Prunus avium (sweet cherry) is the source of this 370-nucleotide non-coding RNA. The record is from RefSeq and is a predicted model, not a curated record. NCBI's taxonomy places the organism in Eukaryota, Viridiplantae, Streptophyta, Magnoliopsida, Rosales, Rosaceae.